Cygnus atratus (black swan) is the source of this 1371-nucleotide long non-coding RNA. RefSeq lists it as uncharacterized. NCBI's taxonomy places the organism in Eukaryota, Metazoa, Chordata, Aves, Anseriformes, Anatidae. The record is from RefSeq and is a predicted model, not a curated record. The transcript has 7 exons.
GGCCCCCGAGGGCUCGUCCCGCGGCUAUGGGGAGGGACAGCGAGGCUAGGCGGGCCCUGGGCGACAACUACCAGCACAACCAGCAAGGAUGGUGAAUCUUCUGAGAGAAGAUAAGAAGGAUACUGUCUGGAAAAAUAAUAUAGAAUUGGUCUAUUUUAAUGAAUAAGACAUCAAGAAGUAUGCUUGCGUCACUGACUUUUGAAAGGUUUUAGUCGUAGUUCAUAGUGAUACGCACGUGAAUUAAAGCUGGCAUCAGCUAAUGGAGGUGGAGACCAUUUUGCCCAAAGAGGUGUGGCAUGAGUUACAUUUCCACUUCAGAGGAAGAAAACCUGAAUUGAAGAGCAAACUGAGCCUGGAGUUCUUUUUAAAAGUCUCAGCAUCUAAACUGACAUGACAGGCAAAGUCAACUGGAAGAAAGCACCACUAUCCCUACUUUACAGAUUGGGAACCAAUACAGAAAAAGAUUAAGUGCUUUGCUCAAACUCAUACUAGACAUGUACAAGGUUUGCAGGGAAGAAAAUACUGAACUCCUAAAAGCUAAGAUAUGCAUCUCUGAAGGAACUGAAUUCACCCUUUAGUCAGCAGUAUGAAUUUCCCUUCUCAUUUCUGCAUGAUAAACUGAAUGAAGUAUAGCACUGACCUGAUCUACCCCCCAUCUUCAUCCCAGGCUGUUAUUCCUUGGAGAUUCUCAGACAUGGUACAUUGUAUUUUGGAUUCUUCGUUUGUUUUGUAAGAAUAAGGAAAUGACCCUGAGGUUGUAGGCUGUGAGACUUUUAUGUACUUGUUUACAGAAUUAAAACUUACACUGCAAUCUCCAGAGGUUAAAGGUAAAUUCAUUAAUGUAUUCAUUCAUUAACCCGUUCAUACAUUAACUCACUCGUUCUGUUCUUGAGAAGCUGAAAGGACAGUGCUGUGUCGCCUACUGAUGAAUGGAUUUCUAGCAGGUGAUACUUGCAUCCCUGACAGGGAAAAAUGAGACAUGCCAAGAAACUACUUGAAGAAAUCCAUUUUGCAAAGACAGAGGCAUCGUCAUUGUGCAGCAAAUGCAAACAGAUGGCUUCAUGAAUAAAGAAUAAUUAAAAACAGAAUAUUAGGUUUCAGGCUAUGGAUAGUGUUUAGUUUUAACAAACUAAGGACAUAAGCCUCUCCCUUACCUCUGCUGUAAUAGCAAAUAUGUCAAAUUAUAUUUAACAUGGACGUUUCAGUUGGCCUGACUCCUCUGUGGAGUUACUACAUUCCUUGAUUAAAUAAUGAAGAAAUAGCUACUAAGCAGAAUUUGGAGAAGAAAAGCUUUCAUGGAAUAAAAAAUACACAUUCUACUGAAGUAAAAUCAAUUUUAACACUUUUCUUCUGUAUGUUUGUUUUAUUUGG